UACGUAGGGUGCAAGCGUUGUCCGGAAUUAUUGGGCGUAAAGAGCUCGUAGGCGGUCCGUCACGUCGGCUGUGAAAACCUGGGGCUCAACCCCGGGCCUGCAGCCGAUACGGGCGGACUAGAAUUCGGUAGGGGAGACUGGAAUUCCUGGUGUAGCGGUGAAAUGCGCAGAUAUCAGGAGAACACCCGGUGGCGAAAGCGGGCUCUC
This 207-nucleotide ribosomal RNA is filed under the name uncultured bacterium. Its description in RNAcentral is "partial 16S ribosomal RNA". It matches the Rfam family "Bacterial small subunit ribosomal RNA", at positions 524 to 729 of the family's 1533-position model. The record is from RNAcentral.